Molecule: ribosomal RNA, 392 nt
Filed under: Gymnocanthus galeatus (armorhead sculpin)
Lineage: Eukaryota; Metazoa; Chordata; Actinopteri; Perciformes; Cottidae
Description: partial 12S ribosomal RNA
Rfam family: Bacterial small subunit ribosomal RNA
Source: RNAcentral
GCCUGUUCUAGAACCGAUAACCCCCGUUCAACCUCACCCUUCCUUGUUUAACCCGCCUAUAUACCGCCGUCGUCAGCUUACCCUGUGAAGGACUAAUAGUAAGCAAAACUGGUACAACCUAAAACGUCAGGUCGAGGUGUAGCGUAUGGAGGGGGAAGAAAUGGGCUACAUUCGCUACUACAGCGAACACGAAUGAUAUACUGAAACGUAAAUCUGAAGGAGGAUUUAGCAGUAAGCAGGAAAUAGAGCGUCCCGCUGAAACUGGCCCUGAAGCGCGCACACACCGCCCGUCACUCUCCCCAAAAACACCAGUCAAUUAACUAAAACCUAAUAAUUAAAAAGGGGAGGCAAGUCGUAACAUGGUAAGUGUACCGGAAGGUGCGCUUGGAAAA